Long non-coding RNA from Patella vulgata (common limpet), 3820 nucleotides. RefSeq lists it as uncharacterized. NCBI's taxonomy places the organism in Eukaryota, Metazoa, Mollusca, Gastropoda, Patellidae. The record is from RefSeq and is a predicted model, not a curated record. The transcript has 7 exons.
UACAUUGUUGUCAUGGCAGUGCCCUCAAUUGACAAAUGAUUUCAUUGAUCGUGUAUAGUAGCCAAACGCUGUAUAUGGUUGUGAAUGUAAAAUACUGUAUGCUAUACGUAAAAAUGAUAAAAAGCGUGUUUGGUUUAUUUUAACAGUAAGGAGAAUAUUAAUAUUGAUGAGUAUUAAGAUGCUACCCAGACAUGAACAUGAGAGGGCCUAUAAGCUACACAGACAACGGUUGGAUGAUACAAAACCUCAUUUAGACGUGAGUCCACCCAAGCAAUAUCCACAUCUUGUAUAUAGAAAUAAGCAAAUCAAGAAUGAAGAAGAGAAAUUAUCGCAAGUUGAUAUUGAAAAUAAUAGACUACUACAUAAAAUGACAAACAUCAUGAAAUCAGGUGGUCGAGUAGACAAUUGGAAUGAUCAACCAUUUAAAAGACCAGUAGAUACACACAAAAGGAGAAAGCACGAAGACUUAAAGCUAGAAAAUGUACAAAUAGCUCAAAGACUUGAAGCUGUUAAACCAUAUUAUGGUCGCCAUGUGUGGGAAGACGACUUUAAAAAACACAAACACUAUAGAGAGAUGAGACAGGAAGCUAACAAGGAGUAUUAUGAGACGCCAUCAAAAAAGAAUAAACAGAAGGAUAGUAUGAAGAUGAUUCCAUAUUAUUUGUGAAAAUGGGCAAAGGACAAAGAGAUGUUCUACAUUUUCUAUAUUAGAUUCACAGAAAGUGCAGAGUGUGUUAUCAACUUUUCUAAUUUUGAAUAAUUUAUCAUUUGUGAAUAUAAUCCUAUGGAGAUAUUUGUAUUCAAAACUCCUCAGUUUUGUACUAAGACAUACAGUGUUUAUUAUUUUGAAUAUAUUUUCUACGUCUAAAUCACUUAACUCGGUAUCUAGAAUGUGUUCCCAUGCUUUAAUGGCUUUUGGCCUGCUGAACUUUGCUUGUAUUCGGCUAUCAUAAAUAUUUUUUAAGUUUACGUUGUGAAAAUGGGUAUUAUAUAUUUUGUAAAAAUUAGUAUUUAUAUCUUCCAAGGGAGUUCUAUUACAAUUAAAAUUUGUAUGUACCGCACUUUCAAACUCGCUCGCUUCCUGUACAUACUGCAAGAUACACUUUUCUAUUCCUUUUAAGAUAAAUUGAUGUUUUUCUAAAUAGUGAUUAUCGAUCUUAUUUAUUUUAUCAAAAUAUUCACUAACGUACCGAAUAUUAUUGUUAAAAAGAAAGUUUAAAAAUAUAGUUUUAUUAUUAAUCUUUAUAUUUGUAUUAUUCCAAAUAAUUUGAUUUUCAGUGUGGGCAAUGUUCUUUAUAUGCGUUGUGUAGAUUGUAUACCAGUUGCAUUACAGGUUUUUAUAAAAAGGAAUUUUUAGAUUUAACUUAUCUGGAAAGUUGCAUGCAGGUAAUAAAUUUCCACUAUAUUCAGCCAUAAUGAAUUCAUAUGGUAUGAGCCAUGUUUGGAUUGGUGACUGAUAUAUUUUUUUAAUCCAAAAAAUGCUAUUACAUAUUAGGAAUUCUUUUAAGUCAAUCAUUUUUAAUCCGCAAUUUUUAUUUUUUUGUAUAAGAAUGUCUCGCUUUAUUCUGUCAGGACCGUUCCAUAUAAAUUUGUAAAAAAUUGUGUUUAGUUGUUGAAUAGUAGAAUCCGGUACUGGAUUAACAGUGGCCGGGUUUAAGAAUUCUUGGAAUGCAGAAUGUUUUAAUUAUUUGUAUUUUUCCAAUUAAAGAUAAUUUAUGUUUAUCCCAUACUUUUAAUAUUUGUUCUAUUUCAUUUAUUUUAUUUCUAAAGUUUAAUUCACUAGUAAUUUGAGUAUCUUUUGAAAAAAGGAUCCCGAGGAUUUUUAUAAAUUUUUCGCAUAAUACUAUACCGGUUGAUUUUAAUUUUUGCAUUAAAUUCAUAUCACAGCUAUUUAAAUCUAUUGCUUCUGUUUUAUUAACGUUAAUUAUAAGCCCCGAAAUUAAACCGAAAAGUCGCAAAACCUCAAGCAAAUGUCGUGCAGAGCUAAAAUCUUUUAAUAAUGCCGUUAUAUCAUCAGCAAAGGCUACAACUUUUAUGGAUUUUUGACCAAAUUUUAUUCCAUUUAUAUUUAUAUCGUCUCUAAUAGCGCAUAACAACAGUUCUAUGAUCAAAUUAAAAAGAUUGGAUGACAUUGGAUCGCCUUGUCGUACACCCCGUUUUACAUGAAAAUAAGGGGUUGUAAAUCCAUUGUUUAUUACACAACAGGUGAUAUUUUUGUAAAGGGUUUUUAUCCAUCUAAUAAAGUUACGUCCGAAACCGUACGACGAUAAAGCUUGUAUUAAAAAGUUAUGGUUUAUGCUAUCGAAGGCUUUUUGGAAAUCUAUAGCCAAAAGAAAGCCUAUUAUUCUUUUUUGUUUCGCAAGAUCGAAACAGUCGGAGAUAAUACGGGUAUUUUCAUGAAUGUGGCGACCUGGUAUAAACGCGGAUUGAUUUGGGUGUAUUAAUUGGUUCAAAAAUGGUUUUAAUCUAUUAGACAAAACUUUAGCAUGUUCUAUCUUUAUUACCUUUAGGAAUGAGUUUAAUAACUGAUUGACGUUGUGUUACGGAUAAAGAUUCUUCUUCAAAGGUACAGUUAUACGAGUCUAAUAAUAAUACAUAAAUAUCUGGCCAAAAAUGUCGAUAAAAUUCAAUUGUGAUACCAUCAUUUCCUGGAGAUUUAUUUAUUUUAAACGAGUUUAAGGCCUUCUGAAGUUCGAAAUAGUCAACUUUGAAUUCAAAUAAAUCCUUCUGGUAUUCAUUUAGCCUUUCUACGGGUCUAAAAUUUGUUAUAAAAUUGUUUUCCUUUUUAAAAGACGUAUCUUUCGACGCAUAUAAAUUUUUAUAAAAUAGAAAUAUUUCAUCCGAAAUUUCAAUGGGGUCAAAUAUAGCAGAAUCGUCUGAUUUUUUAAGCUUAUUUAUUGUCGUAGCACAUUUUCUAUCUUUUUCUAAGUUUAAAAAUAAUUUUGUGUUUUUUUCACCAUUUUCAUACCAGUUUUGUUUAGAUCUAAUAAUUGCUCCUUGCGUCUCAUCAAUGUAAAUGUUAUCUAAUGAUUGUUUAACUUCAGUAUAUUGAUCAUAAAGUUUUUCGAUAAUUUUGUUGUCACAAGGUUCCUGUUUACUGAUAAGGGAUUCAAUCUUGACCAGUUCUUCAAUUAGACUAUUUUUUACAGCUUUUUUAGGUUUUUGUUUCUUUUUGGAAUAUCCUAUAGAAUAUUCCUUUAUCUUAAAUUUAAUGAAGUCCCAUAAACCAUUUUUAUUUUGUUUGUCAAAAUAUUUACUUUUCCAUAUCGGUAUUGAUGAUUUUAUCAUUUUAGUAUAUGUCUUGUCUUUUGUUAGCGAAGAGUUAAAUAUCCACAGAUUUGGUCCGCGUGGAUAAUUGUUUAUUUUGAUAUGUAGAUGAAUUGAUGAGUGAUCAGUAAAGGAAGUUGGCUUUAUUGUACAUGAUUUUAUACAAUCUUGAAUUUUUUCCGAUAUCAACCAAAAAUCGAUUCGACUUUGUAUCAAAGGCUUCCUUUGUUUCCAAGUAAAACGCUUAUUAUUUUGAUUUAGAUUUCUGAAUAUAUCUAAGAGGUUAAAAUAAUUAAUUAUAUUGAAUAUGGCAGUUUGGCCUUUUCUUUUCAGUUUAUAAUUGCCGCCAUAUCUAUCAAGUUGAACAUUUAGGACAUUAUUAAAAUCUCUGCCAAUUACCAUUGAGAACGUGUCAAGUUCACUACAUAGCUGUUGUAAAGAGUUAAGUAAUCUUGUAUAAUAAAUGUACUGGUACUUAUCAGAUAUAGGGCUAUAUGUAUUGACUAAAACUAAGAUAUCAUUAUAGACACUUAUUACUAAAAUGUUAAAAUAA